Psammomys obesus (fat sand rat) is the source of this 3176-nucleotide long non-coding RNA. RefSeq lists it as uncharacterized. The transcript is spliced from 5 exons. The record is from RefSeq and is a predicted model, not a curated record. Lineage: Eukaryota; Metazoa; Chordata; Mammalia; Rodentia; Muridae.
UCUGCUCCGCUGCCGGGCCUCCAGCGAGCUCCGCGCGUCCGAGAGGGAACCAAGGGCUCCCUGGUUCAAAGGGCCACAGCCCUGAGGGGAUGCUUCCUUGUGUGCCCCGGGGUGCAGAAGCAGACUGCAGGGCGGUGGGACCAGCCUGGGCCACGGUGAUAUUGCAACCACGGACUCCCUAGACUCACCAAGUGUUGAAGACACGGGGGCACAAUUUCUGGGAGACUCAGGCACCACCAACACCCUUACUUAGAAUAUUCUAUAGUGACUUCUGGAGGGGUUGGCCAGGUACCCAAACAUCAGGACCCCAAAGAAGGGAAAUAAAAGUGGGAUUGAAGCGCUCCAGGGGUUCCCAGUCAGGGACUGCUUCAACACGUGUAACUCUGUGUAAGAGGACGACGCUUCAGGUUUUCAGAAGCUAUCUUUGGACUUGAUGUGUGCCUUUAAAGGUCACCUUCAGUGGAUACAGAACAAGAGUUUCUGUUGUUCCACUUGGAUCCCAGCACUUCAGAUAUGAAUAGUUUUCAUUUUUUGGUCCUUCCCGCAAGGACUACCUGGAUCAAGCUGAGGCAGGAGCUGGUCAACAUCAACUUCAUCCUUGGAAGCACGCCCACCCUACUUCUCUUUCAGUCCUACCCACUUUUUUUUUUUUCACAAAGCCUUGGCCAUCACAAGGAGGUUUGCUUCUAUUCUUUAUGUGUACCAGAAACACAGGAAGUCCAGAGACACUGGGUUUUGUGAACAGUUAGCUUGAUCUAAAGAAGGGAUGGACUUUGUGUAUCAGAUAGAAUAUUUUCUUCCAAGUGUCGUUUGUUGUUGCUUGGUUUGAUUUGAAAUUGAAUGUAAGGCGUUCAAGCUCAGCUUCAUUGUUAGACAUUUUUCACUUUUCCCUAAUUAUUAUUAUUUUUAAAAUAUUUAUUUCUUUGUUAUGUAUACAGUGUUCUGUCGGCAUGUGUACAUGCAUACUAGAAAAGGGCAUUCGAUCUCAUUAUAGAUGGUGGUGAGCCACCAUGUGGUUUCUGGGAAUUGAACACAGGUCCUCUGGAAGAUCAGCCAGUGCUCUUAAACUCUGUGCCAUCUCUCCAGCCCUCCCUAAUUACUUUUAAGAUGAGGGUGAAGGCAACACCUUCAUUACACGUUACUGGAAUAUAUAACCCUUUUUCCUACAUCUUUCAGUAUUGUUCCAUAAGCCUGAAAUGAAUCUUUGACUUUCUCAUACUCAGGCAAAUAGCAGUGUCAAAGUUACUAUUCAAACAGCAAACAGAUAUUAGGAUGGCACCAAGGUUCUGUUGUUUCCUACCAAUUAUUUUUUCCCACAAUGCCUUGGCCAUCACAAGGUUUGUUUCUAUUCUGUAUGUGUACCAGAAACACAGGAAGUCCUGAGACAGAAUGUGAGAUUGAAGGAAGUACCAUAGUCUCUUAAUUCAUAAGUAAAUUACUUUUUAAACAUUGCCCCCUUUGAGAUUUGGCAAAUAGUUAAACUAGUUUACACACUUCUUCUCUCUCCCUUUCCUUUUAAGUACAGCUCGUAAGUAAGCAGACACCUUAACCAGCUCUCAUAGUAAACAGCUUUCUUUUUAUUGCCUUUUCAUAGCAGAGAGCUAUCAAAAAUAAGAUAAUGCCUAAAGAUCUGGAGCCUAAUCAGCUUUCUUGCUGAGUUUAAAGAGUCCUGAGGCUGUUAAGUUAGCCCUGGUUAUAUAUGCGGGUGGCUGUGGUGUUUGCUCUGCCCCAUUUUGAUGGAGAGGGUAAUGUGUUUGCCAGAUAAGGGGAAAGGGACCAGCCACAAAUGCAAGGUUCUGUUUGAUAAACCCUGACAUGGUUAGCCAUUUUUCAUACACAUGAAAGGAAGCUUUCAAACCCAAAGGAAAAUAGAGGUGUCCAUUCAAGCUUACUCAUGUUUAUCAAGACAAAAAAAGGUAAAUAAAGAAAAUUGGCAUCCUGUAGUUUAUUUAAUUAAUUAGCUCCACAGCUUAUCAUAAAAUUGAAAAGUUGGAUAAUGUUCAAGUCUGUUUUUCAUUUUUUUUGUGAUCUAGUGAGAGAGUUAAGUUUUUCUUGUUCAUAUAUAUUGAAAAGGCAGUUAUUUUGCUGGGCUGUGUUGCCUCAUUGCAAGGUGUAGGCUCAAUACGAAGAAAAUUAUGAGCUGAAGUUAAGCCUUUAUAGGGCUUCUAUGCAUGUUCUUGGAAUAAGAAUGCUAUUUGAAAUCAGUAUUCAAAUACAUGAUAGAUGACAUGCUUUGCAAAGAGGCCUGUAGCCAGAAAGAGAUUGAUAAGGCUGAGAACAAAAUACCCUGCCUUGCAUACACUUAAUAAUGUGAGAUUGGUCUGUUCUAGAACUUCAGUUAAUGUAAAUGCAUACACAGAGGUGUUCUAAAAUAAAUAACUGGCUUUGAGGUUGCAGCUAAAUUGGUAGAGAAAUGCUUAGCAUAAAUGAGUCUGUGGCUUCAUUUCUUAGCACUGUAUGGAGAAGGCACGGUGGUGCCUACCUAUAAUCUUAGCACACAGAGGGCAGAGGCUGGGGAAUUAUGAAGUUCAACCUCAUUUUUAGUUUUAUCAUGAGUGUGGGGUCAGCAUAAGGUAUGGAAAACCAUGUCUCAACAAACCGAAUAAGAAUAAGAACUUUAUUAUUUAGAAUCAUUUUUAAGAUGUUAGGGAUUGGUACUGGCAAUAUGGCUCAGGGGGUGUCAAUACUUUCUGCUCGUCCAGAAGAUCUGAGUUCAGUUCCUAGUACCCACAUUAGGUGGCUUACUACCACCUGUAACUCCAAGUCCAGGGGACUCAGUGCCUUCUUUCGGCCUCUGAGGGCAUCCACACACAUUCAACACACAAGCGCGUGCACUCUCUCUGUCUCUCUCUCUCUCUCUCACACACACACACACCAAAUCUUUACUUAAAAAAUAAAAUAUUUAAAUGUUGGAGAUGAACUAUGUUUUGCUUUAUACCAUUUUUUGACAUUUCUUCAAAGAAGAAUUCAGUUAUUUUUAUUAUUGCCACUGUACUAUGGAGCUCAACUUCAAUAGUUUAAUGACUGAUGGCUAAUUUAUCGGAAAUAACAACCUUAACUUAUCCUAGUAAAUUUUUUCUAAUUCUCUUCUUAGAAAUUCUGGUUUCCUGGUUUCUAGUAAAUUAGAAGUGUUUAAUAAACUAAAGAUAUGACCUUUAAUGAUUAGUUUAUCUAUA